Molecule: non-coding RNA, 212 nt
Organism: Pelobates cultripes (western spadefoot toad)
Lineage: Eukaryota; Metazoa; Chordata; Amphibia; Anura; Pelobatidae
Source: the annotation of a GenBank genome assembly
GCUGACUCUAUACAUCAGAGACACGACCCUUUAAUUUCUUCAUCUGAAACCCUGACAGUAUACUAAUAUAAUAGUGGAAUUUAUGUUGUUGCUUUUGUCACACAGAUUUUUCAUUCAACUGGUAAUCCGAUGUCUGGCUAACUCAGCUUGAUACCUAUAUGUUCUGCUAGAUAAUGUUGUUUUUCUCUCUAAAAUGAGCAGUAACAAACCAU